GCUGAAUUCCUAGUUAGGAACUAGGAGUUUGUUUGAUUGGGUUGCAUUUGGUGUGCUGCUGUGCAUCCUUGAGGAGGAGAAGGAGGGAGUCUGGAGAUGAUGCAAGGAGUAGUAUACAAGGAUCAUUUUGCUACGUGUGCAGCUGGAAUCUGCAAUUGCUGAGCAGCCUGGGCUAUGCUGAGGUCCUGUAGCCUGUGGCUCCACUGGCACUGCUGUCUGACACAAGUGUAUGGUGCAUGCCGAGAAGGGCGACUGAAGUCAAGAGUGAGGCAAAUGAAUUUGGGAAGGCAGAACUGCCCCUUUUGUUAUUGAAGCUUCAAACCCAGUUACAAGUGCUGCAGGAAACUGUUUUCUCUUGCUGUGGGGACUGGAGCAUCUCUCUUAUGACGUCUGAAGAGGAAAAGUUAAAACAGGGCAUUAGAUUCUGUCUUGGAAAUACCUUACCACAGGCAGCUGGAAUCUGAAUCCAAAAGUUCACGCUUGAAAAUCUGAGUUAAAUACAGACUCGGGUGGAUACCUGAGCAAUACUGUGCUAUCAUGAGUAAUAGCAGGACUCCUGGUGACGUCUGCUGAGAUAAGUUAAAAAUAAAAGAAAA
Molecule: long non-coding RNA, 596 nt
Filed under: Cyanistes caeruleus (blue tit)
Lineage: Eukaryota; Metazoa; Chordata; Aves; Passeriformes; Paridae
Description: lncRNA (ENSCCEG00000002661.1)
Source: RNAcentral